CUUUCCUCCAGCCUAAAUGUGUGACCUCGUGUCCUAUGUAUAGCCCUGUUUAUGAAUAGAUUUCCAGAUAAAGGUUUGUACUGGCCCCCGAAUAUAUUUGUAUAAAGUUAUCAUAUCCCCUCUCAGGCGCCGUUUUUCCAAACUAAACAGAUUUAAUUUUUUUAACCUUUAUUCAUAACUAAAAUGCUCCAUUCCUUUUAUCAAUUUUGUAGCUCGUCUCUGGACCC
Non-coding RNA from Pelobates cultripes (western spadefoot toad), 227 nucleotides. NCBI's taxonomy places the organism in Eukaryota, Metazoa, Chordata, Amphibia, Anura, Pelobatidae. The record is from the annotation of a GenBank genome assembly.